Molecule: ribosomal RNA, 468 nt
Filed under: uncultured bacterium
Lineage: Bacteria
Description: partial 16S ribosomal RNA
Rfam family: Bacterial small subunit ribosomal RNA
Source: RNAcentral
GACGAACGCUGGCGGCGUGCUUAACACAUGCAAGUCGAACGGAAAGGCCCUGCUUUUGUGGGGUGCUCGAGUGGCGAACGGGUGAGUAACACGUGAGUAACCUGCCCUUGACUUUGGGAUAACUUCAGGAAACUGUGGCUAAUACCGCAUAGGAGCUCCUGCUGCAUGGUGGUGGUUGGAAAGUUUCGGCGGUUGGGGAUGGACUCGCGGCUUAUCAGCUUGUUGGUGGGGUAGUGGCUUACCAAGGCUUUGACGGGUAGCCGGCCUGAGAGGGUGACCGGCCACAUUGGGACUGAGAUACGGCCCAGACUGCUACGGGAGGCAGCAGUGGGGAAUAUUGCACAAUGGGCGGAAGCCUGAUGCAGCAACGCCGCGUGCGGGAUGACGGCCUUCGGGUUGUAAACCGCUUUCGCCUGUGACGAAGCGUGAGUGACGGUAAUGGGUAAAGAAGCACCGGCUAACUACGUG